AGAAUCAACGCUGGCGGCGUGCCUAACACAUGCAAGUCGAACGAGAAAGUGGAGCAAUCCAUGAGUAAAGUGGCGCACGGGUGAGUAACACGUGACUAACCUACCCUUGAGUGGGGAAUAACUUCGGGAAACCGAGGCUAAUACCGCAUAACACCUACGGGUCAAAGGAGCAAUUCGCUUAAGGAGGGGUCGCGGCAGAUUAGUAGUUGGCAGGGUAAUGGCCUACCAAGACGGUGAUCUGUA
RNAcentral lists this ribosomal RNA (243 nucleotides) under uncultured bacterium. RNAcentral's name for it is "partial small subunit ribosomal RNA". It matches the Rfam family "Bacterial small subunit ribosomal RNA", at positions 26 to 285 of the family's 1533-position model. The record is from RNAcentral.